RNAcentral lists this ribosomal RNA (500 nucleotides) under uncultured bacterium. Its description in RNAcentral is "bacterial SSU rRNA". It matches the Rfam family "Bacterial small subunit ribosomal RNA", at positions 28 to 507 of the family's 1533-position model. The record is from RNAcentral.
GACGAACGCUGGCGGCGUGCCUAAUACAUGCAAGUCGAGCGGAAUGAUGAAGAAGCUUGCUUCUUCUGAUUUUAGCGGCGGACGGGUGAGUAACACGUGGGCAACCUACCUUGUAGAUUGGGAUAACUCCGGGAAACCGGGGCUAAUACCGAAUAAUCCAUUUUGCUUCAUGGCGAGAUGUUGAAAGACGGUUUCGGCUGUCACUACAAGAUGGGCCCGUGGCGCAUUAGCUAGUUGGUAGGGUAAUGGCCUACCAAGGCGACGAUGCGUAGCCGACCUGAGAGGGUGAUCGGCCACACUGGGACUGAGACACGGCCCAGACUCCUACGGGAGGCAGCAGUAGGGAAUCUUCCACAAUGGACGAAAGUCUGAUGGAGCAACGCCGCGUGAGUGAAGAAGGUUUUCGGAUCGUAAAACUCUGUUGUAAGGGAAGAACACGUACGAGAGUAACUGCUCGUACCUUGACGGUACCUUAUUAGAAAGCCACGGCUAACUACGUG